Molecule: non-coding RNA, 26 nt
Filed under: Homo sapiens (human)
Lineage: Eukaryota; Metazoa; Chordata; Mammalia; Primates; Hominidae
Source: RNAcentral
UCUCGGGUAGCCGGUUUAGACUGUGU